Paramormyrops kingsleyae is the source of this 827-nucleotide non-coding RNA. The record is from RefSeq and is a predicted model, not a curated record. NCBI's taxonomy places the organism in Eukaryota, Metazoa, Chordata, Actinopteri, Osteoglossiformes, Mormyridae.
ACACACACAUACAUUCUCUCUCUCACACACACACACUCUCUCUCACACACACACACUCUCUCUCUCGCACACACUCACACACACACACACUCUCUCUCACACACACACACACACACACGUACAAAGCAAUCAGCAGCUGAUACGUGGUUCUCAGCCAGCCUCUUGGUGCGGAAUGAACACGGCGGGAUUAAUCACUGCUGCAGAGGCGCCACUGAAACGAAGAGCAGCACAGAAGCAGCGCUUCAGCAAACGGACACGCGGCAGAGCGGCGCUGGGCUGACAGCCAGGAACACGAGAUUUGGCACCUGGGGCAGAGAGAGACAGGAAGCUGAACGUGCGGCCAGAAAGGCAAGCGAUCCAGCAGCCGCUGACACCGGCAUCACAGAAGCACCACUCAAGCGGGCAUCUCCUCCAGGCCCGCGUCUACGUUCCGGACUAAUUAUUUCUUUAAUUGAACCAAUUGAACUAAUUUAGGCCUAAUUAACUGUACGGAUGACUGCAUGUUCUCUGAAGAAAAAAACACUGGUUACUAGAAUACGGCAUGUCAAACCCAGUUCAUGCUUGUUCGUGUCACUUAACAGAGUCAACUGGUCAAUUACCUGUACUAGUAAAGCAAUUAUGUAACCCAAGAUACAUGAAAAAAAUUUAACUUUUGCAUCUUCUAGUAUUAAAGGACAUUCCACCCAGGGAGGACCCGGCCUUGUGCCCUGUUUCCCUAUCUUCAGGCUCACAACAAAGCUGUACGGCAUAAGCAGUUGUGGAAGAUGGAUGUACUGUUUAUUAUUAUGUGUCAAACUGCUGAAUGGAAAUAAAUUCAAGCAGGAUGA